This 852-nucleotide ribosomal RNA is filed under the name Utrechtiana roumeguerei. RNAcentral's name for it is "LSU rRNA". It matches the Rfam family "Eukaryotic large subunit ribosomal RNA", at positions 83 to 965 of the family's 3401-position model. The record is from RNAcentral. Lineage: Eukaryota; Fungi; Ascomycota; Sordariomycetes; Magnaporthales; Pyriculariaceae.
GUAACGGCGAGUGAAGCGGCAACAGCUCAAAUUUGAAAUCUGGCCCUAGGCCCGAGUUGUAAUUUGCAGAGGAUGCUUUUGGUUAGGCCCCUACCGAGUCCCCUGGAAUGGGGCGCCACAGAGGGUGAGAGCCCCGUAUGGUUGGACGCCGAGCCUUUGUAAAGCUCCUUCGACGAGUCGAGUAGUUUGGGAAUGCUGCUCUAAAUGGGAGGUAAAUUUCUUCUAAAGCUAAAUAUUGGCCAGAGACCGAUAGCGCACAAGUAGAGUGAUCGAAAGAUGAAAAGCACUUUGAAAAGAGGGUUAAAAAGUACGUGAAAUUGUUGAAAGGGAAGCGCUUGUGACCAGACUUGCGCCGGGCGGAUCAUCCAGCGUUCUCGCUGGUGCACUCCGCCCGGCUCAGGCCAGCAUCGGUUUUCGUCGGGGGACAAAGGCUUCGGGAACGUGGCCCUCUUCGGAGGGUGUUAUAGCCCGUUGCGUAAUACCCCGGCGGGGACCGACGACCGCGCUUCGGCAAGGAUGCUGGCGUAAUGGUCAUCAGCGACCCGUCUUGAAACACGGACCGAGGAGUCAAGCAUUAGUGCGAGUGUUUGGGUGUAAAACCCGCACGCGUAAUGAAAGUGAACGUAGGUGAGAGCUUCGGCGCAUCAUCGACCGAUCCUGACGUUUUCAGAUGGAUUUGAGUAGGAGCAUUAACGCUUGGACCCGAAAGAUGGUGAACUAUACUUGAAUAGGGUGAAGCCAGAGGAAACUCUGGUGGAGGCUCGCAGCGGUUCUGACGUGCAAAUCGAUCGUCAAAUUUGAGUAUAGGGGCGAAAGACUAAUCGAACCAUCUAGUAGCUGGUUUCAGCCGAA